This 939-nucleotide ribosomal RNA is filed under the name Pseudomonadota bacterium. RNAcentral's name for it is "partial 23S ribosomal RNA". It matches the Rfam family "Bacterial large subunit ribosomal RNA", at positions 1989 to 2925 of the family's 2925-position model. The record is from RNAcentral. Lineage: Bacteria; Pseudomonadati; Pseudomonadota. RNAcentral also lists the same sequence under 1 other name.
UGCACGAAUGGCGUAACGACUUGGGCGCUGUCUCGAGGAGAGACUCGGCGAAGGUGUACCACCCGUGAAGAUACGGGUUUCCCGCAGCUGGACGGAAAGACCCCGUGGAGCUUUACUGCAGCCUGAUAUUGGAUGUGGUUUUAGCGUGUAUAGGAUAGGUGGGAGGCUGAGAAGCCGGGGCGCCAGCCUCGGUGGAGCCGUCCUUGGAAUACCACCCUCGUUGGAACUACGUCCUAACCGGGGCCCUGGAUCGGGUUUCGAGACAGUGUCAGGUGGGCAGUUUGACUGGGGCGGUCGCCUCCCAAACGGUAACGGAGGCGCCCAAAGGUCCCCUCAGCACGGUUGGAAACCGUGCGGCGAGCGCAAGAGUAUAAGGGGGCUUGACUGCGAGACCUACAAGUCGAGCAGGGACGAAAGUCGGGUCUAGUGAUCCUACGGCGGCAAGUGGAAGCGCCGUGGCUUAACGGAUAAAAGCUACCCCGGGGAUAACAGGCUAAUAGGGCCCAAGAGUCCACAUCGACGGCCCUGUUUGGCACCUCGAUGUCGGCUCAUCUCAUCCUGGGGGGGUAGUACCUCCCAAGGGUUGGGCUGUUCGCCCAUUAAAGAGGUACGUGAGCUGGGUUCAGAACGUCGUGAGACAGUUCGGUCCCUAUCCACUGCGGGCGUAGGUGACUUGAGGGGGGCUGCUCCUAGUACGAGAGGACCGGAGUGGACGCACCUCUGAUGUACCGGUUGUCCCGCCAGGGGCACGCGCCGGGUAGUCAUGUGCGGUUGUGAUAAGCGCUGAAAGCAUCUAAGCGCGAAGCACGCCCCAAGAUGAGGUCACCCACCGGGCAAACCGGGUAAGACCCCAGGUAGACCACCUGGUCGAUAGGCCGGGAGUGGAAGCGCGGCAACGCGUGGAGCCUACCGGUACUAAUCGGUCGAGGGCUUGAUGCU